Molecule: ribosomal RNA, 323 nt
Filed under: uncultured Alphaproteobacteria bacterium
Lineage: Bacteria; Pseudomonadati; Pseudomonadota; Alphaproteobacteria
Description: bacterial SSU rRNA
Rfam family: Bacterial small subunit ribosomal RNA
Source: RNAcentral
GAGUUUGAUCGUGGCUCAGAACGAACGCUGGCGGCAGGCUUAACACAUGCAAGUCGAGCGCGUAGCAAUACGAGCGGCGAACGGGUGAGUAACGCGUGGGAAUCUAUCCAGAACUAUGGGAUAACACAGAGAAAUUUGUGCUAAUACCAUAUACGCCCUACGGGGGAAAGAUUUAUUGGUUCUGGAUGAGCCCGCGUUGGAUUAGCUGGUUGGUAGGGUAAUGGCCUACCAAGGCGACGAUCCAUAGCUGGUCUGAGAGGACGAUCAGCCACACUGGGACUGAGACACGGCCCAGACUCCUACGGGAGGCAGCAGUGGGGAAU